RNAcentral lists this ribosomal RNA (253 nucleotides) under uncultured bacterium. RNAcentral describes it as "partial 16S ribosomal RNA". It matches the Rfam family "Bacterial small subunit ribosomal RNA", at positions 524 to 776 of the family's 1533-position model. The record is from RNAcentral.
UACGUAGGGGGCGAGCGUUGUCCGGAUUUAUUGGGCGUAAAGAGCGUGUAGGCGGCCAGGUAGGUCUGCUGUGAAAACUCGAGGCUCAACCUCGAGACGUCGGCGGAAACCAUCUGGCUAGAGUCCGGAAGAGGAGAGUGGAAUUCCUGGCGUAGCGGUGAAAUGCGCAGAUAUCAGGAAGAACACCCGUGGCGAAGGCGGCUCUCUGGGACGGUACUGACGCUGAGACGCGAAAGCGUGGGGAGCGAACAGG